CUAUGGCGAUCUAUGUAGUACGCAAUACUGCUUGAAAGUGAUCACGUCGAUAAAUUUCGCUUUUCUCGAGCGACAGAGAUAAGAUCAUAAGGCUUAUGAAACUGUUAGAUUCGACCAAGAACUUUUCCAUAUCAACUAUCAUGCCGUAUUUCGGUUACUGAAAAUCAACAUUAGUCUUCCUGGUAAUCGCCAUUUAAACGGAGCAACGAUCUUGAUGUCAGUCGUAGAAAGACCCGAUGGUGUACGAAGGGGACUGCGUUGAAUGACCAUUGCCUUUUGGUUUGCUCUAAGCAUUUGAGUGAGCGGAGUCCCUCUCCUGUGGAGCGGGUUAGACCGUUACUACGUCUAUCAAUGCGAUGAUCUUCUUUCCUUAUAGCUUUAGCCAGCAGCGAAGACAUACUGAGAGACCGACAGAUAGAGAAGCCCACGAACUGAUAUUAGCAAAGCACUGUGCAAAUUAUGCCGCGUCACUACAUAUGGACGUAUCGGACUGGAUUAGCGUCUUUCGAACGAUGACGGAGGAUCUACCCAGAAUCGGAUCCUUGGCGAGUCUAGAUCCAAACAAGGCUUUCCCUUUUCGUGUAUCGAAUAGUACUACAUAUGAGAUGCAGGACGUGACUUUUGAUCAUUGCAAAGCCUAAACAUAUUAGUCUACAAACAAUAACGAACGUCUGACUGCAGACUUGCAAUGAAUCAGAUAGAAGACACAGCUUUGAAAUUACGAUCCAGUUAAAUCUAUGGCGGAAAACUGACACAGUUAAGCCUAUCGAUCUUACGUCUCACGCAUCCGUAGGCGGGCUCAUCCUACUUGGUAGCUUGGUUGUCUUUGUUGUUGGCUGGGCUGUCCUGGCCGUGGCCAUCUAUUGUUGGCGCGGCCGGAAAGCACCGGUAAUCUUUCCUCAUGGUCCCGACGCUAGGAAUUCGAUCGUCUGUGUGAAAUUAGAAGAGCACGAGAGCCAUGAUCCGAAGAAAGUUAAGCUUCAGCAUGUCAAUAAAAAGACAAACAUCUCAGACUGCUCAAUGAUUGGGAUUGACAAAUCAAUAGCAAGUUCAUCCCGAUACUUAACACCCUCGUCGUGUAAGCGCGCUCCAACAACAUCUUCGAGAAGAGAUAUGAAUCGGGAAGAUUUCGAGGAACCUUUGUGACGUCCGAAACCGACACGGCAGAUAAACAUCAGGAUCAUCGUUAUUAGACCUAACAGCAGCCAAGAUAAGGGAACAGGCUGGCAUUAUAGGGAAAUCGGAACGGCUUCAACUGUCUCAAUUACUGCAUACCAUUAGGUGCUAUACAUAUAGCUAAUUUGCUAUAAUGUAAUUUUUAUUCUAUGCAUAUUGUUUAUUUUUCUUUCGCUUAAUCAGAGCGGACAUCAUAACGAUAAUCAUUUUGCCUAGGCAAGUUAGACUUCAUAAUGGUUGUGUCAGUAAGUUUAAAUUAUUGAGGUCGGUGAAAAUGAAUUUGUAUUAUGUCUAACGGGGCUAUAUUGCAGCAUAUGUUAUGAUCAUUCUAAUGUUCUAUGAUGCAGGUACAAUCAAAUACAACGGAUAGAAAAAAAAAUCGUUGUUUUUGCCCAAAAAUGAGCAUCAUGUUUCCAUAAUCUACGGCACUCU
Non-coding RNA from Varroa destructor (honeybee mite), 1608 nucleotides. Lineage: Eukaryota; Metazoa; Arthropoda; Arachnida; Mesostigmata; Varroidae. The record is from RefSeq and is a predicted model, not a curated record.